AGAGGCAGAGCUCUGGGGAGUCUCCACCAUGGCCUGGACCCCUCUCCUGCUCACCCUCCUCACUCUCUGCACAGGUUCUGUCGUCUCCUCUGAGCUGACACAGCCAGCCGAAGUGUCCGUCGAGUUGGGACAGACAGCCAGGAUCACCUGCCAGGGAGGCAGCUUUGGAAGUUAUUCUGCCAGCUGGUACCAGCAGAAGCCAGGCCAGGCCCCUGUAUUGGUUGCCUAUAGUGAUAACUACCAGCCCACAGGGAUUCCUGACAGAUUCUCAGGCUCCUACUCAGGGAACACAGCCACCCUGACCAUCAGCGGAGCCCAGACAGAGGAUGAGGCUGACUAUUACUGCCAGUCAUUGGACAGCAGUGCUAAUGCUCACAGUGACACAGGCUGA
Diceros bicornis minor is the source of this 391-nucleotide non-coding RNA. The record is from the annotation of a RefSeq genome assembly. NCBI's taxonomy places the organism in Eukaryota, Metazoa, Chordata, Mammalia, Perissodactyla, Rhinocerotidae.